CCUACGGGCGGCAGCAGUAGGGAAUCUUUCACAAUGGGCGAAAGCCUGAUGGAGCAACGCCGCGUGCAGGAUGAAGGCCUUCGGGUUGUAAACUGCUUUUAUAAGCGAGAAAUAUGAUGGUAACUUAUGAAUAAGGAUCGUCUAACUACGUGCCAGCAGCCGCGGUCAUACGUAGGAUCCGAGCAUUAUCCGGAGUGACUGGGUGUAAAGAGUUGCGUAGGUGGCAUAAUAAGUAGCUAGUGAAAUCUGGUGGCUCAACCAUUCAGACUAUUAGCUAAACUGUUAAGCUCGAGACCGUUAGGGGUAACUGGAAUUUGUAGUGUAGGAGUGAAAUCCGUAGAUAUUAGAAGGAACACCAAUAGCGUAGGCAGGUUGCUGGGACGGUUCUGACACUAAGGCACGAAAGCGUAGGGAGCAAACGGGAUUAGAUACCCCUGUAGUC
Molecule: ribosomal RNA, 442 nt
Filed under: uncultured bacterium
Lineage: Bacteria
Description: partial 16S ribosomal RNA
Rfam family: Bacterial small subunit ribosomal RNA
Source: RNAcentral